AGCUUUUCACAGCUGCACUAUCAUAGCCAAUGAGGUUUAUCUGAGGCAUGAUUACUACCAACUGAAAAUUUUCCCCCAUAAUCCUAAAAUUUGCAUUUUCUGCACAUUGUGAAAGUUUUUACUAUGUUAAAGCU
Vulpes vulpes (red fox) is the source of this 134-nucleotide small nuclear RNA. Its record names the gene U4. It matches the Rfam family "U4 spliceosomal RNA". From Rfam's summary of the family: U4 small nuclear RNA (U4 snRNA) is a component of the major U2-dependent spliceosome. The structure of U4 snRNA from yeast and human has been reported. The record is from Ensembl. Lineage: Eukaryota; Metazoa; Chordata; Mammalia; Carnivora; Canidae.